Long non-coding RNA from Theobroma umbraticum, 2517 nucleotides. RefSeq lists it as uncharacterized. The record is from RefSeq and is a predicted model, not a curated record. NCBI's taxonomy places the organism in Eukaryota, Viridiplantae, Streptophyta, Magnoliopsida, Malvales, Malvaceae.
UUAAAUUGAGAUUAUAUUUCUUAUUGUUUACAGAAAUGCAAAUGGAAAAACAAGCCUCCUCUGCCUCGUCCUAUUGAGCCCAAUAUUAAGAUUUUAUUUUGAUAAAUUCUAAGCAUUUAGGUAUCUCGUUGAGUAUGAGGUUAAUCCUCUCUGUUAUCAUGUAAAUCUAAACUUAUUUUUAAGCUGAAAUUGCAAUAGAAACCACCAAUCUGGGCAUGGCUCCAAAUUCCGGCGACGCAUUCUAAGCUAAAAGUUCCGGCAGCCAUUCUCUGUCCCUUAUUUCAUCAUCAUCUGGGGGCAAUCAGUUGGAUCACAGGUCCAACUCCCAAAGCAAGAUUUUUGACUUUUUUCACAUGAUUAUGGUGGUUAGUAGGAGUGUUGGUGGCGGAGGGGAGAACGCUGUUUGUGCUAGUUUUUCUAAGCUGUUCGUUCAUUAUUAGAUUCUGUUGAGCUUUCUCCCUGAUUAAUUAUAUACCCGAACGCGUUUGCUAUGGGUUUUUUUUUUUUAAUUAACAAAAUUAUGUGUGUUGUUAUGCAAUUGAUAAUGACAUGCAUCAGGAUAUUUAUAUAGUUUUAUGUCUCUACAUAGACUUCAUGGAAAUUUUACAUAAAAUCGAGUUAUUGGUUUCUGAGAUAAGUUACUGGCCUGUAAUUUCUGUGAACAAGUUUUCCUUCUCGUUUUCUUUUUAAGGGGUUUGGGUAGGAAGUGAGGAUAUAAAGAGCAUUUAAAAGAUGGUUGAAAAAAGAAAGAAAGAGCUUCCAUAUCCCUCUUCAUAUGAUUUCCAUGUAGAUUCUGGAGUUUGUUCGUUAUGGUGACAAGAAUGCGGCAGAAUUGAUGGACAUUGGGCACGACUUUUAGGAAGGUUGACGGGACAUUUCCUGAUGGGGCAACAUUAAUCACUAUUCACGAUGCAAUUGCUAGUGAAAAUGGAAAUCUGGAGCUUGCUUUACAUGGUUCUUUUCUACCUGUGCCUUCCCUGAGAAAUUUCUUGAAUGGAAGAUCAAACAAUUCCUGGUGACAUGAUUUUCAAAGGUGGGACUAUUGCACUUGGUCAUGGAAGGAAAGCAGUUGGUCAUGGAAGGAAAGCAGUAAGUCUCAAAGUGACUAACACUGGAGACAGGCCAACUCAGGAAAGGAUAUGGAAUGCGCUUAAAUAUACCAGCAGGAACAGCUAAAAGAUUUGAGCCUGGAGAAUUUAAAACUGUUGUGCUUGUCAGCAUUGGCCAUACGAAAGUGAUCAGAGGAGGAAAUGGUAUUGUUGAUGGUCCUGUUGAUGAUGCCAAUGCCGAAAUAGUGAUGGAAACCAUAAAGAGAGAAGGUUAUUGGAGUCUGGAAGAUGCAAAUGCUAGGUUUACAACUUUGGCUAGAAUUAAUGCUCUCUGAUUUAGUUCCGCUUCAUGUCAUCAAAAGGAUUUCUUGAUUAGUAAACCUUGACUGCUUAAAUAAUUGAAUAGGAAAGUAUUGAUGCCUUGACCUGGCUUAUUUUGCUGUGAAGGUGUCACUGGAGAAGGUUCUGCUUUCAGCACAAUAAUUUCUUGUGAGGCAUAUGCUAAAAUGUAUGGCCCUACUACUGGUGACAAAAUUCGGCUAGGUGAUACAAACUUGUAUGCUGAAAUAGAAAGAGAUUUUGCUGUAUAUGGUGAUGAAUGUGUCUUCCGGGGUGGAAAAGUUAUAAGAGAUGGCAUGGGUUAAUCAUGUGGGCAUCCACCAACUGAAUCUUCAGAUAUUGUUAUAACAAAUGCUGUAAUCAUUGAUUACUCUUUUUAAGGCAGAUAUUGGUAUUAAAAAUGGCCUUAUUGUUGCCCUUGGGAAAGCAGGCAAUCCAGACACCAGAGAUGGUGGUUUCCUUAAUAUGAUCAUCGGGGUUAACACUGAGGUUAUUGCUGGGAAAGGAUUGAUUGUAACUGCUGGGGCUAUAGACUGUCAUGUGCACUUCAUAUGCCCUCAGCUGGUUCAUGAAGCAAUAUCAAGUUGUACGCUACACUGUCAGGCAUACUUUAGGCUACACAACAUUAGUAGGAGGUGGAACUGGACCAGCUGAAGGUACAUGUGCAGCUACUUGUACAGCAGCACCAUUGCAGAUGAAAUUGAUGCUGCAGUUCACUGAUGACUUGCCUCUGAUUUUGGCUUCACGGGAAAGGGGAAUGGUUCCAAACCUAAUGAACUACAUGAAAUAAUCAAGGCUGAAGCUAUGGGAUUGAAGUUGCAUGAGGACUGGGGGACUACUCCUGCUGCAAUAGACAAUUGCUUGACUGUUGCAUAACAAUUGGAUGUCCAGGUCAGAGAAAAAGAAUGAGAAAUGCUUCUGAGCUUUACAAAUUCUUUUAUAAUUUUACAUUUUUAACCAUACCAGCCUCCUGUAUGGUUUAGGAAAAGAGACAAAGCAUGAUCCUCAGUUAGAUAAUUUAAAUUUGUACAUCUCAGUCAGAUAAUGUGCAAAAUUGGCUUGCUUGUGAUGUAACCAAGCAUGAUCUCAAGACGUUCAGUCCCACCUGAUUAUGAGCACAGCAUUAUUA